RNAcentral lists this ribosomal RNA (564 nucleotides) under uncultured bacterium. Its description in RNAcentral is "bacterial SSU rRNA". It matches the Rfam family "Bacterial small subunit ribosomal RNA", at positions 932 to 1496 of the family's 1533-position model. The record is from RNAcentral.
GUGGAGCAUGUGGUUUAAUUCGAAGCAACGCGAAGAACCUUACCAAAUCUUGACAUCCUCUGACAGCCAUAGAGAUAUGGUUUCCCUUCGGGGCAGAGUGACAGGUGGUGCAUGGUUGUCGUCAGCUCGUGUCGUGAGAUGUUGGGUUAAGUCCCGCAACGAGCGCAACCCUUAAGUUUAGUUGCCAUCAUUAAGUUGGGCACUCUAGACUGACUGCCGGUGACAAACCGGAGGAAGGUGGGGACGACGUCAAAUCAUCAUGCCCCUUAUGAUUUGGGCUACACACGUGCUACAAUGGACAGGUUACAAAGGGCAGCGACGCCGCGAGGCCAAGCGAAUCCCAUAAAACUGUUCUCAGUUCGGAUUGGAGUCUGCAACUCGACUCCAUGAAGCUGGAAUCGCUAGUAAUCGUAGAUCAGCAUGCUACGGUGAAUACGUUCCCGGGUCUUGUACACACCGCCCGUCACACCACGGAAGUCGAUAACACCUGAAGCCGGUGGGCCAACCUUUUAGGAGGCAGCCGUCGAAGGUGGGAUUGAUGACUGGGGUGAAGUCGUAACAAGG